GACGAACGCUGGCGGCGUGCUUAACACAUGCAAGUCGAACGGAAAGGCCCUGCUUUUGUGGGGUGCUCGAGUGGCGAACGGGUGAGUAACACGUGAGUAACCUGCCCUUGACUUUGGGAUAACUUCAGGAAACUGGGGCUAAUACCGGAUAGGAGCUCCUGCUGCAUGGUGGGGGUUGGAAAGUUUCGGCGGUUGGGGAUGGACUCGCGGCUUAUCAGCUUGUUGGUGGGGUAGUGGCUUACCAAGGCUUUGACGGGUAGCCGGCCUGAGAGGGUGACCGGCCACAUUGGGACUGAGAUACGGCCCAGACUCCUACGUGAGGCAGCAGUGGGGAAUAUUGCACAGUGGGCGGAAGCCUGAUGCAGCAACGCCGCGUGCGGAAUGACGGCCUUCGGGGUGUAAACCGCUUUCGCCUGUGACGAAGCGUGAGUGACGGUAAUGAGUAAAGAAGCACCGGCUAACUACGUG
This 468-nucleotide ribosomal RNA is filed under the name uncultured bacterium. RNAcentral's name for it is "partial 16S ribosomal RNA". It matches the Rfam family "Bacterial small subunit ribosomal RNA", at positions 28 to 507 of the family's 1533-position model. The record is from RNAcentral.